UGGGGAAUUUUGGACAAUGGGCGAAAGCCUGAUCCAGCAAUGCCGCGUGUGUGAAGAAGGCCUUCGGGUUGUAAAGCACUUUUGUCCGGAAAGAAAUCCUUGGCUCUAAUACAGUCGGGGGAUGACGGUACCGGAAGAAUAAGCACCGGCUAACUACGUGCCAGCAGCCGCGGUAAUACGUAGGGUGCAAGCGUCAAUCGGAAUUACUGGGCGUAAAGCGUGCGCAGGCGGUUUGCUAAGACCGAUGUGAAAUCCCCGGGCUCAACCUGGGGAACUGCAUUGGUGACUGGCAGGCUAGAGUAUGGCAGAGGGGGGUAGAAUUCCACGUGUAGCAGUGAAAUGCGUAGAGAUGUGGAGGAAUACCGAUGGCGAAGGCAGCCCCCUGGGCCAAUACUGACGCUCAUGCACGAAAGCGUGGGGGAGCAAACAGGAUUAGAUACCCUGGUAGUCCACGCCCUAAACGAUGUCAACUAGUUGUUGGGGAUUCAUUUCCUUAGUAACGUAGCUAACGCGUGAAGUUGACCGCCUGGGGAGUACGGUCGCAAGAUUAAAACUCAAAUGAAUUGAC
Molecule: ribosomal RNA, 568 nt
Filed under: uncultured bacterium
Lineage: Bacteria
Description: partial 16S ribosomal RNA
Rfam family: Bacterial small subunit ribosomal RNA
Source: RNAcentral